AAAGUAGAUAAGAAAAGACUUUAAUGAGGGCAGCACAGAGGGAGUCAUCACAGAGAAGGCUGUGGCAGCUCUCUGCAGACAAAGGGUCCCUGCCUCAACCUUCCAUCUCUGCUGAGCCAGGCCCUGUGAUACCCUGGGGCACGAAUGUGACCAUCAUGUGCCAGGUUGAUGGGGACUUUGAGAUGUUCCACCUGGAGAAGUGUUCCACCAGGAUUUCUUACAGUGUUCAGGAUGAGAGGAGCACUUCAUCUUUCCAGAUGGAGGCCAGAUUCCCCCUCACUUUGAUGAAUGCUGCAUCUAUCAGAAAUUCUUUAUCUGGUCUCCAUGCAGGAAGAUGCUGGAGCUGGUGGUGACUGAUGCAGAUAUCACCCAGACCCCAAUCCCCACAGCCUCAGCUGUGCCCUCAGGUUAUCAUUUAUCUGGACCGUGUCCCAGCUGCCACCCUCUGUUUCCCAUGCCCCCUCCUGACUCCAAGCCUCUCCCCUUCUCAGCUAACCUGUCCCCUCAAACUCCCUGCCCCAAGGGUGCAGGGGCUUAUCACUGAGGCUCUUGUGGAGAACAGAUGAAAUGAGAGAUUGGACUCUAGCACUUGAGUGUAGACCCUGGUCCUCUUCCUUUUCCUUCUGUUCGCUGUCUCGGCAAGUAAACAAAAAGCAUGGGGACGGUGCUGCCCAGCUCA
Molecule: long non-coding RNA, 679 nt
Organism: Cavia porcellus (domestic guinea pig)
Lineage: Eukaryota; Metazoa; Chordata; Mammalia; Rodentia; Caviidae
Exons: 2
Source: RefSeq, a predicted model, not a curated record